UAACUGGGCAGGCUGGACUGCCACCUCCGCCUUCUCACCUGUAAACUGGAGGCCGCCACACCAGCUCUGCCCUCAAGCACGCAAUGUACCAAAAUCCAACUACAGCCCACGAACAGGACUGUGCUUUGUAAACUGAGACAUGCCGAAUCGCUCAGAGCCCGUGAAGGUCAUCACUGACAGACACCUAGUCUCCAGCAAGCUCAGGAGGAAAGGAGGCGACCAAGGGCUGGGGAAGCACAAGAGCCGAUUAACAGAGGAAGGAGGAGUUGGCCUCAUGGUUAUGGAGACUGAGAAGCCCCUUGAUCUGCAGUCCCCAAGCCAAAGACCCAGGAAAGAGCAGACGGCACCAGCCCCAGUCGGGAGUCCGAAGGCAGGAGGAAACCGAAGUCUCAGUUCCGAGGCAGGCGGAGAGCUGGUUCUCCCUUCCACCACCUUUUCGUUCUGUUCAGGCCUCACGUUCACCCACCCUGGGUAGAGCGAUCCUGGGUAGAGCUUUACUCGGUCUCCCGUUCAAACGUCAAUCACACCCAGAGCUACCUCUCAGGCGCAUUCCAUAAUGACACUGAGCCAAACAUCCCGGCACCCCGUGGCCCCAGUCAAGUUGACAUAAAAUUAACCAUCAUGAUCCCCCACCCCUUUCCCACUCACAUACCCUCCUCCCCCUAGAAUCCUCCAGAAACAGGGUUUCACCAACCAUGAGAAGUUCAGGUGACCUGAACAUCUCAGGUUCCGUACUGAUUUAAAGUCGAUUUGGGGGGAGCAAGCCUUCCUCCCUACGGAUCUAUGUUCUCCCCACAAAAACUAUUGUAUUCCCUUACCUUAUAUCUGUGGUGCAAAGGAAUCACUUUAGAAUCCACACCCGCUCUGUGACCUUGGGCAAGGGACAUGUCCCCUCUUAGAACAGUUUCUGGUCUUUCAGGGCUUCUGUGACAAUUUAAUGAGUUAGCAUAGUUUGGCACAUGACAAGUAUAGAGAAGG
Lutra lutra (Eurasian river otter) is the source of this 978-nucleotide long non-coding RNA. RefSeq lists it as uncharacterized. The transcript is spliced from 2 exons. The record is from RefSeq and is a predicted model, not a curated record. Lineage: Eukaryota; Metazoa; Chordata; Mammalia; Carnivora; Mustelidae.